Molecule: long non-coding RNA, 6455 nt
Filed under: Zostera marina
Lineage: Eukaryota; Viridiplantae; Streptophyta; Magnoliopsida; Alismatales; Zosteraceae
Description: long non-coding RNA (ZMAR_LNC002047)
Source: RNAcentral
GUUAAUCACAAAUGAUGAUUAACCUUGUAUUGAAUUAAUUAUUAUUUGUUUAUCAAGUUAUACUUAUACAUUUGAUUAAUGAAUAAUUAACUGACUAAUCUCUCAACAGUUAGUUAACAUUAACUAAAACUAAUAUUAACUAAAAUCUAUUUCUGGGCCGGCUUCAUGCUGUGGCCUUUUUAUGAGCCCAAUCUGCUUUCUGGGAUAUUUCUUCAAGUACACAUGAGUUAUCCAUAAAUGAUAACCAAGUCCUUCAUUUAACUUGUUUUAUUUAACCAACUAUCCUUGUGUUUUCAACUAUUGAAAAACAUUUGGAUAUUUAUAAGCCAGUCCUUUGAUAAGUUAAUUUAAUAGGUUUUGUAGUAACCUUUUAUUUAUUUUUAUUACGCUUAGGUCCUUAGUUCAUGUUUAUUGUAACUUGUUGUUUUAACCCUGGAUUUCAGCAUAAUAAUCUUAUACUCCCCCCUCAAGCUUUGGAAUAUGCAUUGUGGAUUCCUAGCUUGACAGAGAAUGCUGAGAUCUCAUUCUCUCCUAGAGAUUUGGUGAAGAUAUCUGCAAGUUGGUAUUUAGUACCUACUUGUUUUAGCAAAAUUAUUCCUUUAUCUAUCAUUUCUCUAAUGGAAUGACAUGAGAUCUCUAUAUGCUUACUUCUCUCAUGAAAUACUGGAUUAUUAGCAAGGUAUAUUGCUGAUUUAUUGUCACAGUAUAGAGAAGUUGGCAUCUGUAUUUCCAACUUUAAAUCUUUAAAAAGUUGGUGUAGCCAAAGCACUUCACAUUGUGCUUUACUGAUGGCUCUGUAUUCAGCCUCACAAGAUGAGAGUGAAACAGUAUUUUGUUUCUUGGAUUUCCAAGAAAUUAAUGAUGUUCCUAAGAACAUGCAAUAUCCUGAUAAUGAUUUUCUGCUAAUUGAGCAAGAAGCCCAAUCUGAGUCACAAUAUCCAUGAAGAUUCAUUUGAUUUUGACUCUUAUACAGGAUGCCUUGGCCAGGGGCAUUUUUGAGGUAUCUUAUCACCUUAAACAAAACUUGAAGGUGAAUUUCAUUGGGAUUUCCCAUGAACUGGCUCAGCCAAUGAACCGGGAAACUUAGGUCAGGUCUAGUGAUAUUCAAGUAUAUGAGUUUACCCACUAGUGACCUAUAUAGAGUUGGGUCUGUUAGAUCCUUUGCUUGUUCAUUUCUUAAAUUUACAUACCUCUCCAUAGGUACUUUUGAUGGCUUUGCAUCCAUUUGGCCACUUUCUUCUAGUAUGCCUAAUGCAUAUUUUCUUUGUGAUAUAUAUAUACCUUCUGAUGGGUAUGAAACCUCAAUUCCUAAGAAAUAGGACAAUUUUCCUAAAUCCUUAAUUUUGAAGUUUUUUUCAAUAUUUUUUUUUAUUAGAAACAUUUCUGUCUCAUUGUUCCCUGUAAUGAUAAUAUCAUCUACAUAUACUAGUAGAUAUAUCAUAUUGUCAUUGUUUGUUUUCACAAACAAUGAAUAAUCAGAAGGUGUUUGUACAAAACUCAUCUCAAGUAAAACUCCCUUCAACUUAGCAAACCAGUUUCUGGAUGCCUGUUUUAAGCCAUAGAGAGAUUUAUUUAGUUUACACACCCUUUUGUCUCCUUCACUGAGGAGCCCCUGGGGUGGUUUGAGAUAUACUUCUUCAUGAAGAUCUCCAUAGAGGAAGGCAUUAUUAACAUCUAGUUGAUAGAUGUUCCAUUUCUUAAUUGCUGAAAUUGCAAUUAUAGUUUUAAUUGUGGUCAUUUUGACUACUGGGGCAAAUGUUUCAUAGUAGUCAAAUCCUUCUUUUUGAGUGAACCCUUUUGCUACAAGUCUAGCCUUGUAUCUCUCUAUUUCACCAUUUGGCUUAUGCUUAAUUUUAAAAACCCACUUGGAGCCUAUAAGCUUCCUAUCAUGAGGAAGUGUGGUUAAAGUCCAAGUUUCAUUUAAAAGAAGUGCAUCCAUUUCUUUCUUCAUUGCUUCUACCCAAUUUGGGUUCUUAGAAGCUUCUGAGAAGGUUUGAGGUUCAUCAUGAAUUGAUAUUUGAUGAAGAAAUUUUUUAUGAUUUUUUUUAAUUUUAUGGUAUGAUACUUGAUUACAUAUUGGGUAUUUCCCUCUUUUGUUGUUAUUUCCAUAUUCCUUGUCAUUUUCAAGAAAAAAAUCCUUGUAAGCUUCUGGAAUAUGGAUUACCCUGCCUGUUCUUGUUUUCUUUUCAAUUAUUUCUAUUGGGUUUUUUGAAAAUAUGCAGGGAACAUUUUCUUUUUGUUUAAGACAAUCUCCUGUAAUUUCAGGUGUAUUGUUCUGUUUUUCUAUUGAUGUUCCUGUAUCUGAUGAUCUUAUGUCAUCAUUCUGAACAUUUUCAGAAUAGAGAGAAGUUUGAUCAUUCUGAACAUUUGCUGAAUUUUUUUCAUUAUGUUCAGAAUUUUUGAUGUUUUGUGAGUUAUGAUUUAACUCAACAGAAUCAUGACUAGGUGUAUGAAUUAGUCCUAUAUCUGAUGAUCUUAUGUCAUCAUUCUGAACAUUUUCAGAAUAGAGGGAAGUUUGAUCAUUCUGAACAUUUACUGAAUUUUUUUUAUUAUAUUCAGAAUUUUUGAUAUUUUGUGAGUUAUGAUUUAACUCAACAGAAUCAUGACUAGGUGUAUGAAUUAGUGAAUCAUAUAAUUCAUACUGUCCUGGAUUCAUUUGAUCAUUUUUUGAUCUGUAUUCUGAGUUUUGGGCAGUAUUUCCAGAAUUUCUGGUAUUCUGUGAAUUGUGGUUUAACUCAAUACAUUUAUUGUUUUUUUUUUGCUCACACUGAUAUUUUUCAUAUGUUUAGACAUAUGAACUUGUGAGUUAUAUUUUUCAGAUUGUUUUGGGUUUGUUUGAUCAUUUUUUGAACUAUUUUCUGAAUUAUUUUCCAGAAUGUAAUGAUCAUCAUUCCCUGAUCUUAUUUCCAGAACACUGGUUUCUUUUUUAUUUUUGUUUUGAUGAUGCCUUUUAUAGUCAUACCAUGACUUAUUUACAUCAUCAUGAUAUAAAAAAAUAUUAUUAUAGCAAUUUUGAAAUUUAUUUUCUUUUUGUGUUUCUUCUAGAUUAAGAUCAUCUUUGAAUGGGAAUAUUGACUCUCUAAAUGAGACAUCCCUAGAGACAAUGAAUUUUCUAUCUGAAACUCUUAAUAUAAGAUAUCCUUUAAUACCUUUGGGAUAUCCCAUAAAGAUCCCUUGACAAGUUUUUGGUGAAAACUUGUUUUCCAUUUGUGUGACUGAGGCAUAGCAUAGGCAACCAAAUGAUUUCAAAUUUUCGUAAUUUGGUAUUUUUUUAUGAAUUAUUUCAUAAGGUGUUUUGUUUUCUAAGGUCUUGGAGGGAAUUCUAUUAAUUAAAUAGGCUGCUGUUAGAAUGCACUCCCCCCAAUAUUCUAAUGGAAUAUUUCCUUGGAAAUGUAGUGCUCUUGCAAUGUUUAAGAGAUGCCUAUGUUUUCUUUCUACCCUUGCAUUUUGGGCAGGUGUAUAGGGGCAUGAGAAUUGUUGAACAAUUCCAUGUUUUUCAGUCAUUUUUUUAAAAAUGUUAGAAGUGAAUUCUCCCCCAUUAUCACUUCUAAUAGUUUUGAUUUUGGUUUUGAACUGUGUUUUAACCAUUUUGUAAAACUUCUCAAUACAUUCUAUUGCCAUCGAUUUGUUUUUAAUUAGAUAUAUCCAAGUACCUCUACUUAGAUCUUCCACAAUAGUUAAGAAAUAAUUAAACCCAUCAUGGGUCAUUAUGGGAAAUUUUCCCCAUAUAUCUAUGUGGAUUAAAUCAAAAAUAUUUUCAGAUUUGGAACUACUAAUUGCAUAUUUGAGUUUAGCUUGCUUGGCUAAUGGACAUAUUCUACAAUCAUAUUGAAUCGAAUUUAUUUUAUUGAAAACUGAAUUUUUAUCAACAAUCUCAUUCCUACAAUCUGGAAUUUUUUUGUUCUUAUUACAAUCUGAACUAUCAUUAUUACAAUCUGUUUUUUUGUAUCUAAUUUUGUAUUGAGAAACUAAUGUCUUCAUUUUUUCAGAAGAAAUGUGUCCCAAUCUUUGAUCCCAAGUCUUGAAGUCAAUGGCUGAAUUUGUUAAAAAAUGAUGAGGGGUGAAAAAAUAUAGUCCAUCCGUAGACUCACCCUUGCCAAUCACUUUCUCGGAUUUGUUUUCCUGAAAUUGAAAGCAAUGAUCAUUAAAUAUUACUUUAAUGUCAUUGUCUAAGGUUAACUUGCUUAUAGCUAUUAGAUUAACCUUAAAUUCAGGAAUAUACAACACAUUUUUUAAAAUCAGAUUUUCAGAUAUUUUUAUACAACCCAUUCCUUGAACCAUCAAUAUUUUGCCACUAGGUAUAGUCACAAAAUGGUUAUAUUCUUUAACUAAUGGGUUGGUGAAUAGAUGUAAAUUACCAGUCAUGUGUUGUGAUGCUCCGGUAUCUACUAUCCAUCUAUCAAUAUAAUUAUUUGUAUUGAAAGAAAAAGAAAAAUUAUUACCAGUGUUUGACUUUGUUGAAGAGAUAAGUUCCUUGAAUAAUUGGAUCUCUUCUUGACUUAGCACUAGUUGUUGACUANNNNNNNNNNNNNNNNNNNNNNNNNNNNNNNNNNNNNNNNNNNNNNNNNNNNNNNNNNNNNNNNNNNNNNNNNNNNNNNNNNNNNNNNNNNNNNNNNNNNUUUGCAAAUUCUGAAACAGUGGUAUUACUGCCCUGGUUUUUCUUUGGUUGAAUUUUCUUUUGAAAUUUUUCUUUUCCUGGUUUGCCUACUAAAUGAUAACACUUUUCCCUUGUAUGACCAUAAUACUUACAGUUAUCACAGUAGAAUCUAGUAUCGAGUUUCUUUCCAUUUUUAGAGUACAUACCCUUUGUUCCUUCUACUGGAUUCUUAUCUUUUACAUAAAAGGCAGAUUCAGUAUUUUUCUCAUUGGUGUGUUCUCUGAAUUUACAUCUCUGUUUUUCCUCUUGAAUAACUAAUCCUAGAACCUUAUUCAUGUUUGGUAAUUUUUCUAAUGAAAGAAUUUGGGUUCUAAGAUUAAAAAAGUUUUCAUUCAGUCCUAACAAGAACUGAUGAAUCAUAUCAUUCUCUUCUUUUUCUUGGUAGAGUUUCUUGCAUGACAUACAAAAUUUUUCCUUAAUUUCAUCAAUCUGUACCAAUUGAUCCCAAAUGGAUCUGAAUUUGUCAUAAAAUUCAGAUGAAGGCAAUGAUCCUUGUUGUAGACAACAUAGUUCGUAUUUAAUUUGAUUUAUCUUGGGAGCAUUCCCUUGUUUAUAUCUAUUCUCUAGAUCUAACCAUACUUGAUGGGCAUCAUUGGUAUACAUGAUAGUAGAUUGUAUUUGGGGAGAUACUGAAUUUAACAACCAUGCAAGAACUAAUCCAUUAACUAUCUUCCAUAUGUUAUAUUCCCUACUAGCAAAAUCUGUGGGCAUUGUAAUCUGUCCAGUAAUGAAAGCAUCCUUUCUUCUUGAAACCAAUGAGACUUUCAUCCCAUUGGACCAAGUUAUAUAGUUGGAUUCACCAACUAAUCUAUCUGGAACUAAUACUGCCCCCGGGUGAUCACCGGAGGUUAAAAAAAAUGGUGAUUCUGGAUUUUGUAAAGGAGAGAUGUACCUUUCCGAUUUGUGCCUUUUAAAAAAGGAACCUUGGUACAAACCUUCUUGAUAAUUGCUUGGUCGAGAUUUUGCUGUCGACCCAGAAGAGGAUUCGCUAGAUGCUGCUGGAGUCACUAUCGGAUUAAGCGGUUGUACAGCAGGAAGAGUUGCGGCUAGAUUUGCCUGAAGCAUUGCGGAAAUGGCUGGCUGGUUGACCGGAGGAGCGCCAGGACGAUUGACGGCUGAUACCAUAUUAUUUUCCUGCAUAGUGGGUGCCGCUGGUGACAAUGCAGAUGAUUCCUCAUACCUGGGAUGAGAGAAAUGUAAUGGGGUUGCCAUUCAGAGGCUAGGGUUUUCCGCCUGUAUGAAAAGGGGCAACUAACUACUAAAACUGUCACUAAGAAGAAGAGUUGAGAGAGAGUGGUUUAGUUAAUCACAAAUGAUGAUUAACCUUGUAUUGAAUUAUAUUAUCUGUUUAUCAAGUUAUACUUAUACAUUUGAUUAAUGAAUAAUCAACUGACUAAUCUCUCAACAGUUAGUUAACAUUAACUAAAACUAAUAUUAACUAAAAUCUAUUUCUGGGCCGGCUUCAUGCUGUGGCCUUUUCAUGAGCCCAAUCUGCUUUCUGGGAUAUUUCUGCAAGCACACAUGAGUUAUCCAUAAAUGAUAACCAAGUCCUUUAUUUAACUUGUUUUAUUUAACCAACUAUCCUUGUGUUUUCAACUAUUGAAAAACACUUGGAUAUUUAUAAGCCAGUCAUUUGAUAAGUUAAUUUAAUAGGUUUUGUAUUAACCUUUUAUUUAUUUUUAUUACGCUUAGGUCCUUAGUUCAUGUUUAUUGUAACUUGUUGUUUUAACCCUGGAUUUCAGCAUAAUAAUCUUAUACUCCCCCCUCAAGCUUUGGAAUAUGCAUUGUGGAUUCCUAG